GUCUUCUUCUCGUAAUAUCUAACUUCCCAUUCUAAAAAUUGAUUGAUUUUUUUUCGAAAUUUGCCCUUUGAGAUCGAUAAUCAAUGGAAGUUUCUAUGAUCUCCGAUACGCUAACGGCUGUGGUAACCACUCAAGGCUUAGGUGUUUCAAAGUUUCUGCUGAAUCGCAAUCUCAAUUUCUCAUCAAACAACGUUUUCUCACUCUCCGAUUCCUCAUCGGAGCAGCAAUCACCUUCCACCGCCGGAGUUCGUCAAAUUUCCGCUGUGAUUUGUCCGAUCGAUGCCUUAGCGCCGCCUCCUGUAAAGUACAAUAAGGUCAAAGCCGCACCUCGAAGACUGGCUCGUAAGACGAGGCGGAUUAUACGGAAGUCGUUGAUCGGUGGAGCUGAUGAAGGUGAUGAAAACGGAUUUUUAUUUGAUGGAGGUAAUUAUGACGGGCCGUUUGGUGGUGGUAGUAGCUGGGGCGGAGGUGGUGGUGGUGGUAGAGGAUGGAAUUUUGAUGGAUUUGGAGGGGCAAAUUGGGAAGAAUCUUCGUCGAACUCGUUUUCUGAUCCGGCUUUUGAUUUUGUCUAUGAGUUGAUGUGUUGGGCUGCGUUGUCGAAUUGCUUGCAUUAUGCGUUUAAGAAAGUGGUGAGAAUUGUGGCUGGUGGAUUCAGUGAUACAGCUAGAGAGAAGGUUGUUCCAGUUAGACUCACAUCUGUCUACUGAAUCAGUAAGCUCAAUUUACUGAGUAAAUUCUGUUGACGUUGCAAUGUCAUUCCAAAAUUAAUAUGUAAAUAGUAGUGUAUAUAUUUUAUCAAACUCUGA
This 806-nucleotide unclassified non-coding RNA is filed under the name Hevea brasiliensis (rubber tree). Lineage: Eukaryota; Viridiplantae; Streptophyta; Magnoliopsida; Malpighiales; Euphorbiaceae. The record is from RNAcentral.